Molecule: small nucleolar RNA, 107 nt
Organism: Gossypium raimondii (Peruvian cotton)
Lineage: Eukaryota; Viridiplantae; Streptophyta; Magnoliopsida; Malvales; Malvaceae
Rfam family: Plant small nucleolar RNA R71
About the family: R71 is a member of the C/D box family of snoRNAs containing the C (UGAUGA) and D (CUGA) box motifs. Multiple nearly identical copies of this snoRNA have been identified in Arabidopsis, and it is thought to function as a 2'-O-ribose methylation guide for 18S ribosomal RNA.
Source: Rfam
AACCCAUGAUGAUGACACCUUCUAAAUAAAUUCUUAAAUCUCUCCAAUGCAUCAUAUAAUGUCACCAAAUUGAUUUGAGCAAAAGAAGAGAUAUCAUUCCUCAACUU